This 253-nucleotide unclassified non-coding RNA is filed under the name uncultured Alphaproteobacteria bacterium. Its description in RNAcentral is "contains 16S-23S intergenic spacer region". It matches the Rfam family "Bacterial small subunit ribosomal RNA", at positions 524 to 776 of the family's 1533-position model. The record is from RNAcentral. Lineage: Bacteria; Pseudomonadati; Pseudomonadota; Alphaproteobacteria.
UACGAGGGGGGCGAGCGUUGUUCGGAAUUAUUGGGCGUAAAGGGCGCGCAGGCGGCGCGGGAAGUCGGGCGUGAAAGCCCCGGGCUCAACCUGGGAACGGCGCUCGAGACUCUCGUGCUGGAGUUCGGGAGAGGAGCGUGGAAUUCCCAGUGUAGAGGUGAAAUUCGUAGAUAUUGGGAAGAACACCGGUGGCGAAGGCGGCGCUCUGGACCGAGACUGACGCUGAGGCGCGAAAGCGUGGGGAGCAAACAGG